Molecule: ribosomal RNA, 405 nt
Filed under: uncultured bacterium
Lineage: Bacteria
Description: bacterial SSU rRNA
Rfam family: Bacterial small subunit ribosomal RNA
Source: RNAcentral
UGGGGAAUUUUCCGCAAUGGGCGAAAGCCUGACGCAGCCACGCCGCGUGAGGGAUGAAGGCUUUCGGGUUGUAAACCUCUUUCAGCAGGGACGAAAAUGACGGUACCUGCAGAAGAAGCCCCGGCCAACUACGUGCCAGCAGCCGCGGUAACACGUAGGGGGCGAGCGUUGUCCGGAUUUAUUGGGCGUAAAGAGCUCGUAGGCGGUUCAGUAAGUCGGGUGUGAAAACUUGAGGCUCAACCUCAAGAGGCCACUCGAUACUGCUGUGACUUGAGUCCGGUAGAGGAGUGUGGAAUUCCUGGUGUAGCGGUGAAAUGCGCAGAUAUCAGGAGGAACACCGACAGCGAAGGCAGCACUCUGGGCCGGUACUGACGCUGAGGAGCGAAAGCGUGGGGAGCGAACAGG